Molecule: non-coding RNA, 217 nt
Organism: Biomphalaria pfeifferi
Lineage: Eukaryota; Metazoa; Mollusca; Gastropoda; Planorbidae
Source: the annotation of a GenBank genome assembly
AUUUAGCAGCGUUAGUUUAGGCGUGGGCUAGGGGCCCAGUCUAUAAAGAGUAGAGUCUUGAGACAGACACAGCGCCAUCUAGUGUUAGCAGGGGGCGUGUGUCGUGUGCUAGACGUUUUUUUUUUUUGUGAAUGACACAGACCGAAAGGAUGCAUGGUGGCAACUUAAUCGUGCGGAGCAGGCGUCCUAGCCUAGUUCCGUGUCGGUCACUCGGGCC